RNAcentral lists this ribosomal RNA (1317 nucleotides) under Shirakiacris shirakii. RNAcentral's name for it is "LSU rRNA". The stretch from base 880 to 1242 matches the Rfam family "Archaeal large subunit ribosomal RNA", at positions 2150 to 2716 of the family's 2987-position model. Lineage: Eukaryota; Metazoa; Arthropoda; Insecta; Orthoptera; Acrididae. The record is from RNAcentral.
UAUUUAUUUUAUUAUAUUGAUUUUUUGUUUACUAUAUUAUUUAAUAGAAGUAACUUUAUUUUUUUAUAUGUCUAAGUAUAUUUUAUAGAAAUGAUUUUAUAUAUUAUAGUGUAUUAGUAAUGUAAAUGGAUUAUGAAAUAAUUAUUUAAGUUUUUAAAAGUAGAUUUUAAUUGUUGUACCUUUUGUAUCAGGGUUUAUCAAAAUUUUAGUAAUUAUUUACUGAUCUCGAUUUAGGUUGAUUUACAAACAAUUUAUAGUUAAUGUAUCAUAAUUAUUAUGAAAUUGUUUGUAGAAAUGAGAUGUUAUUCGUUUCCUAAAAUAUCUAGUUUCUUAAGAAAAAAUUUAAUUUUUUAUAGUUUUCUUGUUUUUAUUUAAUUAUUUAGAUGAAAAUGUGAACUAAUUUAUUCUUUUGGGGAUAAGCUCUAAAGUUUUUAACCUAUAAUUUAUUGAUUAUUAGAAUAUAAUAGUAAGCUUUAACCCAGCUUUCUAUGGAUUACGUUUUAGUUCAUUGUUCUUUUUCUUGAUUUUAUAAUUAUUUUAGGUUUUUUAUUAAGAUAAUCAAUUUAAUUUUAAAAUUUUUGUAAUAAUGAUUGAAUUAGUAUAUUUAUUUUGUUUAUAAUAUCUGUUUUGUUAAUUUAUUAUAAGGAACUAGGCAAAAUUGAUUUCCGCCUGUUUAUCAAAAACAUGUCCUCUUGAUAAUAUUAUGAGGUCUGGCCUGCUCACUGACGAGUUUUGAAGAGCCGCGGUAUUUUGACCGUGCAAAGGUAGCAUAAUCAUUAGUCUCUUAAUUAGGGGCUGGAAUGAAUGGCUUGACGAGAAAUCAACUGUCUCUUAAUAAAUUUUAGAAUUUAACUUUUGAGUCAAAAGGCUUAAAUUUUUCUUUAGGACGAGAAGACCCUAUAGAGCUUGACAUCUUACUUUUAUAUAGUUUUUAGUUGGUCUUUCUAUAUAAAAUGAUAAUGUUUUGUUGGGGUGACAUGAAGAAUAAAUAAACUCUUCAUUAUAUAAUCAUUAAUUUAUGUUUAUUAUGAUCCAUAAUUUAUGAUCACAAGAUUGAGUUACCUUAGGGAUAACAGCGUAAUUGUUUUUGAGAGCUCAUAUCGACAAAACAGAUUGCGACCUCGAUGUUGGAUUAAGAAAAAUGUUGGGUGCAGUAGCCCAAUGAUUAGGUCUGUUCGACCUUUAAAUUCUUACAUGAUCUGAGUUCAGACCGGCGUGAGCCAGGUCGGUUUCUAUCCUAAGAUAAUUAAUUUGCAUUAGUACGAAAGGACCAUGUGAGUGAAAUAUUUUUUAUUAUUUUGAUUAAAAUUAAUUAUU